RNAcentral lists this ribosomal RNA (894 nucleotides) under Triticum aestivum (bread wheat). RNAcentral describes it as "partial small subunit ribosomal RNA". The record is from RNAcentral. Lineage: Eukaryota; Viridiplantae; Streptophyta; Magnoliopsida; Poales; Poaceae.
AUGCACCCGGAUGAUGUCGCCAAGACGGCGUUUCAGACUCAUCAUGGCCACUUUGAGUUCUUGGUGAUGCCUUUUGGCCUCUCCAACGCCCCGGCGACCUUCCAGGCUUUGAUGAACGACGUCCUCUGCCCCUACUUGCGUCGGUUUGUGCUCGUUUUCUUUGAUGAUAUUCUUAUCUACAGUGCCUCGUGGGCGGAGCACCUUCAGCACGUCGCCAUCGUCUUCAACGAGCUUCAAGCGCACCAUCUUCAUCUUAAGCGCUCGAAGUGCUCGUUCGGGACGCCUUCAGUCGCCUACCUCGGCCACGUCAUCUCGGCCGAGGGGGUUGCUAUGGACGCCGACAAGGUGGCGGCUGUCGCGGCCUGGCCAACCCCGCACUCACCGCGGGCUCUUCGUGGCUUCCUGGGCCUCGUGGGGUACUAUCAGAAGUUCAUCCGGGAGUUCAGCCUCAUCGCGUCCCCGCUCACGCGCCUGCUGCGUCGCGACGCCUUUGCCUGGGAUGCGGAGGCGACAGCGGCAUUCGAGGCUCUUAAGGGGGCCCUCACGACGGGUCCCGUUCUUCAGAUGUCUGACUUCGACCGCCCGUUCGUCGUGGACUGCGACGCCUCCGGUGUGGGGUUCGGCGUUGUCCUUCAUCAGGGCGAUGGACCUCUCGCAUUCUUCAGCAUGCCCUUCGCCGUGCGCCAUCUUAAGCUCACGACAACUCAUUGGCUUGGUGCAGGCGAUGCGCCAUUGGCGGCCCUAUCUUUGGGGUCGGUCGUUCUAGAUUCGCACGGAUCACUACAACCUCAAGUUCUUAUUGGACCAGAGGUUGUCUACCGUGCCGCAGCGUCAGUGGAUCAGCAAGCUCUUUGGCUUCGACUUCAGCGUCGAGUAUUGUCCGGGUCGCCUUAA